GGUCAGGAUGAACGCUAGCUACAGGCUUAACACAUGCAAGUCGAGGGGCAUCAUGGAGUUGCUUGCAAACUCUGAUGGCGACCGGCGCACGGGUGAGUAACGCGUAUCCAACCUUCCCUAUAGUAGAGGAUAGCCCGGCGAAAGUCGGAUUAAUACUCUAUGUUUUCCGUUGCAGACAUCUAAGAUGGAACAAAGGCUUGCCGCUAUAGGAUGGGGAUGCGUCUGAUUAGGUAGUCGGCGGGGUAACGGCCCACCGAGCCAUCGAUCAGUAGGGUUCUGAGAGGAAGGUCCCCCACAUUGGAACUGAGACACGGUCCAAACUCCUACGGGAGGCAGCAGUGAGGAAUAUUGGUCAACGGGCGAGAGCCUGAACCAGCCAAGUAGCGUGCAGGACGACGGCCCUAUGGGUUGUAAACUGCUUUUAUGCGGGGAUAAAGUUCACUACGUGUAGUGUUUUGUAGGUACCGCAUGAAUAAGGACCGGCUAAUUCCGUGCCAGCAGCUGC
RNAcentral lists this ribosomal RNA (505 nucleotides) under uncultured bacterium. RNAcentral's name for it is "bacterial SSU rRNA". It matches the Rfam family "Bacterial small subunit ribosomal RNA", at positions 22 to 518 of the family's 1533-position model. The record is from RNAcentral.